GAUGAAGAACGUAGUGAAAUGCGAUAAGUAAUGCGAAUUGCAGAAUUUCCGUGAGUCAUCGAAUCUUUGAACGCACAUUGCGCCCUCUGGUAUUCCGGAGGGCAUGCCUGUUCGAGCGUCAUUAUCACCCCUCAAGCCCGGCUUGUUGUUGGAUGCAGCGCUUAUCCCGCUCCUCCCAAAGAUAAUGACGGCGUCUGCGACGACUCCUGUACACUGAGCUUUCGGGCACGUACACGGCUAGAAGUCCAGACCCGGUCGCCGUCCCCCCCGCGGGGACACCCAUUACCACAAGGUUGACCUCGGAUCAGGUAGGAAUACCCGCUGAACUUAAGCAUAUCAAUAAGCGGAGGA
Molecule: unclassified non-coding RNA, 351 nt
Filed under: soil metagenome
Description: partial contains 5.8S ribosomal RNA, internal transcribed spacer 2, and large subunit ribosomal RNA
Rfam family: 5.8S ribosomal RNA (bases 1-121)
Source: RNAcentral